RNAcentral lists this transfer RNA (88 nucleotides) under Latilactobacillus sakei. Its description in RNAcentral is "Lactobacillus sakei tRNA-Ser". It matches the Rfam family "tRNA". Rfam says of the family: Transfer RNA (tRNA) molecules are approximately 80 nucleotides in length. Their secondary structure includes four short double-helical elements and three loops (D, anti-codon, and T loops). Lineage: Bacteria; Bacillati; Bacillota; Bacilli; Lactobacillales; Lactobacillaceae. The record is from RNAcentral.
UGGAGAAGUACUCAAGUGGCUGAAGAGGCGCCCCUGCUAAGGGUGUAGGUCGGGAAACUGGCGCGAGGGUUCAAAUCCCUCCUUCUCC